Molecule: ribosomal RNA, 427 nt
Filed under: uncultured bacterium
Lineage: Bacteria
Description: partial 16S ribosomal RNA
Rfam family: Bacterial small subunit ribosomal RNA
Source: RNAcentral
UGGGGAAUAUUGCACAAUGGGCGCAAGCCUGAUGCAGCCAUGCCGCGUGUAUGAAGAAGGCCUUCGGGUUGUAAAGUACUUUCAGCGAGGAGGAAGGCGUUGUGGUUAAUAACCGCAGCGAUUGAUGUUACUCGCAGAAGAAGCACCGGCUAACUCCGUGCCAGCAGCCGCGGUAAUACGGAGGGUGCAAGCGUUAAUCGGAAUUACUGGGCGUAAAGCGCACGCAGGCGGUCUGUCAAGUCGGAUGUGAAAUCCCCGGGCUCAACCUGGGAACUGCAUCCGAAACUGGCAGGCUAGAGUCUUGUAGAGGGGGGUAGAAUUCCAGGUGUAGCGGUGAAAUGCGUAGAGAUCUGGAGGAAUACCGGUGGCGAAGGCGGCCCCCUGGACAAAGACUGACGCUCAGGUGCGAAAGCGUGGGGAGCAAACA